UACAGAGGUGGCAAGCGUUGUUCGGAAUUACUGGGCGUAAAGGGCUCGUAGGCGGCCAACUAAGUCAGACGUGAAAUCCCUCAGCUUAACCGGGGAACUGCGUCUGAUACUGGAUGGCUAGAGUUUGGGAGAGGGAUGCGGAAUUCCAGGUGUAGCGGUGAAAUGCGUAGAUAUCUGGAGGAACACCGGUGGCGAAGGCGGCAUCCUGGACCAACACUGACGCUGAGGAGCGAAAGCCAGGGGAGCAAACGGG
Molecule: ribosomal RNA, 253 nt
Filed under: uncultured bacterium
Lineage: Bacteria
Description: partial 16S ribosomal RNA
Rfam family: Bacterial small subunit ribosomal RNA
Source: RNAcentral